This 468-nucleotide ribosomal RNA is filed under the name uncultured bacterium. RNAcentral's name for it is "partial 16S ribosomal RNA". It matches the Rfam family "Bacterial small subunit ribosomal RNA", at positions 28 to 507 of the family's 1533-position model. The record is from RNAcentral.
GACGAACGCUGGCGGCGUGCUUAACACAUGCAAGUCGAACGGAAAGGCCCUGCUUUUGUGGGGUGCUCGAGUGGCGAACGGGUGAGUAACACGUGAGUAACCUGCCCUUGACUUUGGGAUAACUUCAGGAAACUGGGGCUAAUACCGGAUAGGAGCUCCUGCUGCAUGGUGGGGGUUGGAAAGUUUCGGCGGUUGGGGAUGGACUCGCGGCUUAUCAGCUUGUUGGUGGGGUAGUGGCUUACCAAGGCUUUGACGGGUAGCCGGCCUGAGAGGGUGACCGGCCACAUGGGGACUGAGAGACGGCCCAGACUCCUACGGGAGGCAGCAGUGGGGAAUAUUGCACAAUGGGCGGAAGCCUGAUGCAGCAACGCCGCGUGCGGGAUGACGGCCUUCGGGUUGUAAACCGCUGUCGCCUGUGACGAAGCGUGAGUGACGGUAAUGGGUAAAGAAGCACCGGCUAACUACGUG